RNAcentral lists this ribosomal RNA (698 nucleotides) under uncultured bacterium. RNAcentral's name for it is "bacterial SSU rRNA". The stretch from base 29 to 550 matches the Rfam family "Bacterial small subunit ribosomal RNA", at positions 9 to 546 of the family's 1533-position model. The record is from RNAcentral.
AGGCCGGUACUCGCAAUGANUACAGCUUAAGUUUGAUCAUGGCUCAGAUCCAACGCUGAUAGGGAUGCCUUACACAUGCAAGUCGAACGGCGGCACAGACUUCGGUCUGGUGGCGAGUGGCGAACGGGUGAGUAAUGUAUCGGAACGUGCCCAGUAGUGGGGGAUAACUACGCGAAAGCGUAGCUAAUACCGCAUACGCCCUACGGGGGAAAGCAGGGGAUCGCAAGACCUUGCACUAUUGGAGCGGCCGAUAUCGGAUUAGCUAGUUGGUGGGGUAACGGCUCACCAAGGCGACGAUCCGUAGCUGGUUUGAGAGGACGACCAGCCACACUGGGACUGAGACACGGCCCAGACUCCUACGGGAGGCAGCAAGUGGGGAAUUGGGACAAUGGGGGAAACCCUGAUCCAGCCAUCCCAGCGUGUGCGAUGAAGGCCUUCGGGUUGUAAUGGCAACUUUUGGCAGGAAAGGAACACGUCCAUGGGUUAAUACCCCGUGAAAACUGACGGUANNCUGCAGAAUAAGGCAACCCCGGAUUAACUUACGUUGGCCAAGNCAAGGCCCGACGGGAUAAAUACACGGUACAGGGUGGNCAAAGGCCGGUACAUUCGGGACAUUAACUUGGGCGUUAAAAGACGGUGNNGCNCAAGACCAGGGUACGGGAAACAGAAAANCGAUGGUNNAAAUCCCAGAAGCUUUA